RNAcentral lists this transfer RNA (74 nucleotides) under Janthinobacterium lividum. RNAcentral describes it as "tRNA-Gly". It matches the Rfam family "tRNA". From Rfam's summary of the family: Transfer RNA (tRNA) molecules are approximately 80 nucleotides in length. Their secondary structure includes four short double-helical elements and three loops (D, anti-codon, and T loops). RNAcentral also lists the same sequence under 38 other names. Lineage: Bacteria; Pseudomonadati; Pseudomonadota; Betaproteobacteria; Burkholderiales; Oxalobacteraceae. The record is from RNAcentral.
GCGGGUGUAGUUCAAUGGUAGAACUUUUGCUUCCCAAGCAAAUAGCGUGGGUUCGAUUCCCAUCACCCGCUCCA